Long non-coding RNA from Arabidopsis thaliana (thale cress), 204 nucleotides. RefSeq annotates it as other RNA. NCBI's taxonomy places the organism in Eukaryota, Viridiplantae, Streptophyta, Magnoliopsida, Brassicales, Brassicaceae. The transcript has a single exon. The record is from RefSeq.
UAACUGAUUUAAACUUGUAAGAUUGAAUAUUGAGAGAAAAAUGAAAAGAACCUCGGUUAUAAUUGACAAAAAAAAAAAAAAAAAACUCGGUUAUCUGAUUAGCGGCACGAUCUAAUAAUUGUGGCAGGACAAUCCCGUUGAUGGUGAUGGUCUUUCGCAUGUCAAAGCAAAGAUUUGACACUUGUUUCCAUGUAUCCCCCCAUU